Lutra lutra (Eurasian river otter) is the source of this 449-nucleotide long non-coding RNA. RefSeq lists it as uncharacterized. The transcript is spliced from 4 exons. The record is from RefSeq and is a predicted model, not a curated record. NCBI's taxonomy places the organism in Eukaryota, Metazoa, Chordata, Mammalia, Carnivora, Mustelidae.
GAAUAGGAACCACGUUCCUCCCUGAGAAACGCCACGUCAUGUUGCCUUCUCACGUGUGCUUACGGGUGGCAGCUUGGUGUUGGAACACAGAAACCUCUCUCCCUCAUGUGCCAAGAUUUGAGGUGAUGGUCCCCAGGCCAGCGUGUCUCCCCUGCAAAGUAUCACCACCCAGGACAACUCCACAAAGGUUCAAGAGCAGCUUGCCGUCCUCAUCUGCUGGUGGAGGCCGCUUCUGGGCAUGAAGAAGACGGUUCAGUUUCCCUGAUGUGCCCUCGGGGUGAGGUCACCUGGGACCCCAGCGGUUACUCACACGAACACCAUUUCCUUCGGUCGCUACCACACCCGUCUCCACCUCAGCGCACUGAGAAGCGUUGCAACAGGAGUAGAAGAACAUGGGAAGUUCUGUUACUGUUUAGCUAUUGUAUCAGGAUAUUGAAAACUGAAAUUAA